RNAcentral lists this long non-coding RNA (341 nucleotides) under Salvia miltiorrhiza (redroot sage). RNAcentral describes it as "long non-coding RNA (SMIL_LNC004371)". The record is from RNAcentral. Lineage: Eukaryota; Viridiplantae; Streptophyta; Magnoliopsida; Lamiales; Lamiaceae.
UUGGGAUCGGGUCGAAAAACGCAGCGGAAAUAAUUUUUUUCAAAAUUAUAAAUGAAAUAACUAUUAUUUCAUUCCAACGGCAUUAACGACUUCAUGUUAACAUGAUGAACGAGUGAGAAAAGAAUCUCAUACCUUUUCGCACUCCGGUUGAUGUCGGGAUUUGGAAGCAAUCGGUUGCUCGCAGGGAUCCAAGCGUAUCCCCUCUAUCAAGUCCACACUUUAGCAACCGUGUCAAGCGAUUAGUUCUUCGCUAGCAAAACUAAGCACUCUUGUGUUGUAGAGAAAAUCAGAGAGAGAGCGAGCAGCCAGAAUGAGAGAAAAAGAAAUCUGCAGAAUCGUUU